RNAcentral lists this ribosomal RNA (252 nucleotides) under uncultured Bacteroidales bacterium. Its description in RNAcentral is "partial 16S ribosomal RNA". It matches the Rfam family "Bacterial small subunit ribosomal RNA", at positions 524 to 776 of the family's 1533-position model. The record is from RNAcentral. Lineage: Bacteria; Pseudomonadati; Bacteroidota; Bacteroidia; Bacteroidales.
UACGGAGGAUGCGAGCGUUAUCCGGAUUUAUUGGGUUUAAAGGGUGCGCAGGCGGUCUGUUAAGUCAGCGGUCAAAGCCCGGGGCUCAACCCCGGCCCGCCGUUGAAACUGCCAGGCUAGAGUGUCGGAGAGGUAAGUGGAAUUCCUAGUGUAGCGGUGAAAUGCAUAGAUAUCGCGCAGAACUCCGAUUGCGAAGGCAGCAUGCCGGCUCCACACUGACGCUGAGGCACGAAAGCGUGGGUAUCGAACAGG